Molecule: ribosomal RNA, 1166 nt
Filed under: Purpureocillium atypicola
Lineage: Eukaryota; Fungi; Ascomycota; Sordariomycetes; Hypocreales; Ophiocordycipitaceae
Description: SSU rRNA
Rfam family: Eukaryotic small subunit ribosomal RNA
Source: RNAcentral
GAAUGGCUCAUUAUAUAAGUUAUCGUUUAUUUGAUAGCACCUUACUACUUGGAUAACCGUGGUAAUUCUAGAGCUAAUACAUGCUGAAAAUCCCGACUUCGGAAGGGAUGUAUUUAUUGGAUUAAAAACCAAUGCCCUCUGGGCUCUCUGGUGAUUCACGAUAACUUCUCGAAUCGCAUGGCCUUGCGCCGGCGAUGGUUCAUUCAAAUUUCUUCCCUAUCAACUUUCGAUGUUUGGGUAGUGGCCAAACAUGGUUGCAACGGGUAACGGAGGGUUAGGGCUCGACCCCGGAGAAGGAGCCUGAGAAACGGCUACUACAUCCAAGGAAGGCAGCAGGCGCGCAAAUUACCCAAUCCCGACACGGGGAGGUAGUGACAAUAAAUACUGAUACAGGGCUCUUUUGGGUCUUGUAAUUGGAAUGAGUACAAUUUAAAUCCCUUAACGAGGAACAAUUGGAGGGCAAGUCUGGUGCCAGCAGCCGCGGUAAUUCCAGCUCCAAUAGCGUAUAUUAAAGUUGUUGUGGUUAAAAAGCUCGUAGUUGAACCUUGGGCCUGGCUGGCCGGUCCGCCUCACCGCGUGCACUGGUCCGGCCGGGCCUUUCCCUCUGUGGAACCCCAUGCCCUUCACUGGGCGUGGCGGGGAAACAGGACCUUUACUUUGAAAAAAUUAGAGUGCUCCAGGCAGGCCUAUGCUCGAAUACAUUAGCAUGGAAUAAUGAAAUAGGACGUGCGGUUCUAUUUUGUUGGUUUCUAGGACCGCCGUAAUGAUUAAUAGGGACAGUCGGGGGCAUCAGUAUUCAAUUGUCAGAGGUGAAAUUCUUGGAUUUAUUGAAGACUAACUACUGCGAAAGCAUUUGCCAAGGAUGUUUUCAUUAAUCAGGAACGAAAGUUAGGGGAUCGAAGACGAUCAGAUACCGUCGUAGUCUUAACCAUAAACUAUGCCGACUAGGGAUCGGACGAUGUUAUUUUUUGACUCGUUCGGCACCUUACGAGAAAUCAAAGUGCUUGGGCUCCAGGGGGAGUAUGGUCGCAAGGCUGAAACUUAAAGAAAUUGACGGAAGGGCACCACCAGGGGUGGAGCCUGCGGCUUAAUUUGACUCAACACGGGGAAACUCACCAGGUCCAGACACAAUGAGGAUUGACAGAUUGAGAGCUCUUUCUUGAUUU